UCCCAAGUGAGCACUGACUCUCAUAGUCAU
Molecule: non-coding RNA, 30 nt
Filed under: Mus musculus (house mouse)
Lineage: Eukaryota; Metazoa; Chordata; Mammalia; Rodentia; Muridae
Source: RNAcentral